CAUCAAGGACAACAACCAUCCGAGCCACUGCCAGUUCACCCAGCUAUCAUCCAGAAGGCGAGCUGAUCAAGGGUUCGAAAAUGUGGAUAUUGCCAGAUGUUCACUGUUGGAGGAACAGGCCGUAGAAGCCUUAUUGUUGGCAAAAGUGUCCAUAACCAGAGAUUCAGCAGGUGGAGGACCUGCUUUAGCAGGAAGAUCAUCUGGAAACACUGACAAUGGGUCAUUGUUCCUGACAUCCCAUGCUCCCUGUCUACUGAGAAUCUUGCUGUGCUCCAACGUCAAGUGAACCCUACCAACGACUCAUCUUUUGGUCAGGACAUAUACAUGCAUGCUCUUCGAUUAGUGUUGAGUCUCCAACCUUUUCAGGUGCAGUCCUCCCACACUAUAUAGGAUAUUGUUUUAGCCCCAGUGCCACUCUUGAUAAUGGCAAACAUUAGUAUUUUUUGGAGGAGGGUGAAAGGAUAGCAAGCCAAGCUGUCAAAGUGAGAGGGGAGGCUAUUCUGCAUAGAGCGGGUACUUGUGUGUAGUCUAUUUCUUGUGAGCUUUUCUGUCCUCAGAUACAGAGAGCUGUGAAAGCCUGUCUGCAGAUUAAGAGGUCCCAAUGAAGAGCAGGGGUUUUCAGUCCUGGUGCUGGGGACUCUAAACGUUUGUUUGUGCCUUAGCACUACACAGCUGAUUCAAAUGAUCAAGUCACCAUCAAGCUUCAAAUGGUGUUUUGAUGUGAGAGAGGAAGACCGGAGGAAAUCCCGUCAACUCCACCUCACCCGCUCUUAAGAUAAUCUACGGGCCGACUGGGAGUCCAAGGCUGGUUAGAAGACACCGCUAGAGACACUAUGUAAUUGUGAUGAACUGAGAGAAUAUUAGGGUGGCACUAAUUCAUUAAUCAUAUGCUGACUUCCCUGCUCCUCUGUUUUACCUCUCUCCCCACCUCUUUCUUCCUCUUUUUUUGUAUUUAUAAUGAAUGUAUUAUGUAUUUAUAACAGCUGGAUAAUGAACUUUCAAUAAAACGUUUC
Long non-coding RNA from Oncorhynchus gorbuscha (pink salmon), 1013 nucleotides. RefSeq lists it as uncharacterized. The record is from RefSeq and is a predicted model, not a curated record. NCBI's taxonomy places the organism in Eukaryota, Metazoa, Chordata, Actinopteri, Salmoniformes, Salmonidae. The transcript is spliced from 4 exons.